GGGAAAGGUCAAAGUUUGCUGCAUGAAUCCACCUCCUGCUUGGACAGCUCAUGUUUUGAUGAUACUUGUCUUUUAAUUACACUUUCCUUCAUCCUUAAGCAUCAUUCACGACUCCAACCCUUGAGGCUACUUAUACAUCUCUUGGAUAAGACAUUUAAACCUCCAAAUAUAUCCCCAAGUGAAAGGGAGAGCAAAGGAAGCAAAGAGAGAUAGAAAAGUAAGAAGCUGGGAUUGCAGUUUGUAAAGGUUAGUUAAAGUCACGGUUUUGAAGUUUUUCUUUACUCCUUUUGGGUGUUUUAUAAUGUGUUAAUACUCUAAACUUACUUGAGGUUAUUUAGAAGGGUUGUUGAUGAUGUUAUGAAGGCAAAAAGAGGGGUAAUCAAGUACAAGAACCUGAAAGAAACCAACAGAAAUAGAGAUGUGUAGAUUGAUGAAUUUGGAUGGUUUAAACUUUGAUUUUGGAUAAUAUUUAAGAUAAAACUUGUAUCUAUGUAAAUGAAUGUUUUUAAAUGAUAGUUAUAAGGAUAUAAAUGGCCUUCUAAUAGCCUGAAAUCCGAUUGGUAACGUGCUAAUAAAAUAGAAACCGAAAAAUGUCACAAUGGAAACUGUCUGAUUUUAGUGUUGUAGAAAUGGACUGUUUUGAGGCUGAGAAUACUUUACUUGUCAUGACUUUAGAGAAAUAUUACCUUCACAUACAUGUUAUAUAAACGUGGUAAAAAUUUCGGAGUCAUUGGAUAUAGAUAAGGGGGUGAAAAGGGAUUGGAAAAAUAAUUGGACGGUAAGGGAAAUCUGAAAACAGAUUCUGUCCAAUUUUGUGUUUAAUAUGAUUGCAGCCUUUACAUGUACAUUAAUCAUUUCUUGGGCCUAGAAAAUAGAUUCUAAGGGUACUAGGUUUUCAACAACAAUUGGAUGAUGUUGACGUUCAUAAUUUGACUCGAGAAAUAGCGAGAUUUAUGGGAUAAGUUUGUAAUGCCAUCGGUAACUUGAAAUGAUGAUUCCGUCUAAAAUAUUUUAGUGAGAAUGGAUGUAUUUUGGGAUUUUGUGCGUUAACGUUAUUAAAUUGAGGAUUCUCUUUAAUAUUAAAUGGUAAUAUAGGUGAUUUUCUGACUUCGAGUGAAAAAUGAUAUUGAUCUAAUCUCCAUAGAAGCUUACACACACAAAGGUGAAAGGUAAGUAAAAAUUCAUUUGCAACUACGAUGCAAGAACCUAGUAUAUGUGACAUAGUAAUGUUGAAAUAUCUACAUAACUUUGAUAAGAGGCUUAUAGCACAUCAUAUGGUGGUUACGAUCAUUGAGUAUGAGGUUGCGUAACCUAUUGAUAUCGAUUUUCAUUAAAUACGUAAUUCAUGAGCAUUUUCAUAUGCAUGCACGACAUGUGACAUGGUUGAAAAUCCUGCAUGCAAAACAUGAUUUCAAAGUGAGUUUCAUUAUAAAUGUUUUAUUGACCACUACUAGGGCACCGAGGUAUAUGAGGCAUGCUUAUGUGAUAAGUUUGGCAUUACGGGUGUUACUUCCUGGGUGAUUGCAAAGGUAGAUAGGGGAUGAGUCUUUGGUGAUCACGGGAGGGCGGACCACUCGACUGUGCCCUUGUGAUAUUAUGAUUAUUGGCUCUGCCGGGUGGGAGACUUCUUGGGUGAUCAUACAGGUAGUCAGGGGAUGGGCCUCUAGUGGUCACAAGAGGAUGGUCCACUCAUCGAUGUCGAUUUCAUAUUGGUCAUUUGAUUAUUGAUAUUGAUAUUAUGCAGAGCUCUAUCCAGUGCAUAGUAGGUAGGUCAAGCGCCUAAUGAAAUGAAAGAUUUCAAGUGAAAUGAUUUCUAGUCGACUUUAACGAAUAUUGAAAUAUGAUACUUUCUUUAUCGUGAUAUUUAAAGUAAAUGGCAUGGAGUCAUAUGUCGUUAUUACUCAUGUUCAAGACAUGCAUGAUUUUGCUUACUAAGCAUUGACUUAUAUAGUUCUUGCAUUGUAGGUGAGCAUGGAACUAUAUAGAGAGCAUGGCUAGCUAUGAAGCUUCUACGGGAUUCCAGAGUUUGAUAUACAUGGAUGAUGACCUGUAGGGUUAUUUUGUAGGCUGCUAUCUGUUGGAUUAUAUUUUGGAAUCCUAUAUAGUGUACUUUUGAAAUGGCCUGUAGACAUGUUUAUAGGCUCGGAAUAUAUAUGUUGGAUUGUGGCAAUAUGAUUUUGGGUUUCGAUAUGUCAUAUGAUCGUGUCACGGGUGAUUAGAAGUUAACAAACUGGAACAAAAAAAAAUAUAUGUAAAAUUCUAUAUCUAGGUUGUGUAUAGAUAUCAAUGUUAAUUGGAGGCGUGAUAAAUUAGAUGUAACUAUUCAAGUGCAAGAUGUGCAUAAUGAAAAGUCAUGAACCUUUGUGUAGGGUGCGAUCUAUCUAUCACAACAUGGUGUGAUCUAACGGCCCAAAUGUAUUUGUAUCAAAAGAUGCAAGCAUUUCAAAUAGACACAUUGAAAUCAAUGAAUUAGAUCCUCUGAAUCUUUUUUCUACCCACCAAAUUAAUCUCAAAAUAAUUGAUUUCUAG
Molecule: long non-coding RNA, 2529 nt
Filed under: Olea europaea subsp. europaea
Lineage: Eukaryota; Viridiplantae; Streptophyta; Magnoliopsida; Lamiales; Oleaceae
Source: RNAcentral